CUGGCUCAGGAUGAACGCUAGCGGCAGGCCUAACACAUGCAAGUCGAGGGGGUAACAGGCGGUGGCAAUACUGCGCUGACGACCGGCGCACGGGUGCGUAACGCGUAUGCAACCUGCCCGUAACAGGGGGAUAAAUCAGGGAAACUUGACCUAAUACCCCAUAUUGCCAAACCACCGCAUGAUGGGUUGGCGAAAGUUUCGAUGGUUACGGAUGGGCAUGCGUGACAUUAGCUAGUUGGUAAGGUAACGGCUUACCAAGGCGACGAUGUCUAGGGGAGCUGAGAGGCUAAUCCCCCACACUGGUACUGAGACACGGACCAGACUCCUACGGGAGGCAGCAGUGAGGAAUAUUGGUCAAUGGUGGGAACACUGAACCAGCCAUGCCGCGUGAGGGAGGAAAGGCCCUAUGGGUUGUAAACCUCUUUUGCACGGGAGUAAUAAGGCUCAUGCGUGGGCCGAUGAGAGUACCGUGCGAAUAAGCAUCGGCUAACUCCGUGCCAGCAGCCGC
Molecule: ribosomal RNA, 508 nt
Filed under: uncultured bacterium
Lineage: Bacteria
Description: bacterial SSU rRNA
Rfam family: Bacterial small subunit ribosomal RNA
Source: RNAcentral